CCGGUCUUAGCUCAGUUGGCCAGAGCGGGAGACUGUAGAUCUCUAGGUCACUAGUUCGAAUCUGGUAGACCGGA
This 74-nucleotide transfer RNA is filed under the name Parasitella parasitica. Its description in RNAcentral is "tRNA-Tyr (GTA) (tRNA-Tyr-GTA-1-1)". It matches the Rfam family "tRNA". Rfam says of the family: Transfer RNA (tRNA) molecules are approximately 80 nucleotides in length. Their secondary structure includes four short double-helical elements and three loops (D, anti-codon, and T loops). Further hydrogen bonds mediate the characteristic L-shaped molecular structure. tRNAs have two regions of fundamental functional importance: the anti-codon, which is responsible for specific mRNA codon recognition, and the 3' end, to which the tRNAs corresponding amino acid is attached (by aminoacyl-tRNA synthetases). tRNAs cope with the degeneracy of the genetic code in two manners: having more than one tRNA (with a specific anti-codon) for a particular amino acid; and 'wobble' base-pairing, i.e. permitting non-standard base-pairing at the 3rd anti-codon position. The record is from RNAcentral. Lineage: Eukaryota; Fungi; Mucoromycota; Mucoromycetes; Mucorales; Mucoraceae.